Molecule: long non-coding RNA, 311 nt
Filed under: Helianthus annuus (common sunflower)
Lineage: Eukaryota; Viridiplantae; Streptophyta; Magnoliopsida; Asterales; Asteraceae
Description: sRNA HanXRQr2_Chr04g0169081
Source: RNAcentral
GUUAAAUGUUCGCAGAAGUGAACGGGAAGUGGAUUAUUGCGUUGCUAUAAAGUAGCGGCUAAUAAAAGAAAGGUACAAAACGGGUCUAUAUGUUGACUCGAGCCAGGAGAAUGCCAAGAGUGCCCGGAUGAAGAUCAAGCUCGAUGAGGAACCGAACACAAUAAAAUCUAACACUCGGGAUUAAAGCUUCCGCACGGCGUUACGCCAUAUCUUUUAAACAACGAACUUAUCUAUAUUAUGUUGAAAACUUUUAAGUUGUAAAAGUUUUAGAUUACUUGUAUUUUCUAAGAAUACUUAAUCAAAUUUCAUGU